GGAUUGUGGCUCAGAGGUAGAGCGCUCGCCUAGUAUGCGUGAGGCGCUGGCUUCAAUCCUAAGCACCA
This 68-nucleotide transfer RNA is filed under the name Marmota monax (woodchuck). Its description in RNAcentral is "tRNA.Thr". Lineage: Eukaryota; Metazoa; Chordata; Mammalia; Rodentia; Sciuridae. The record is from RNAcentral.